GAUGGCAGUGACGACUUGGUGAUAUUCAAGCUCAACAGACCAAAUCACAUGUCAAUCUCUUUAGAUGAGAUUAACCUAUAUGUUCCUUUUUUCACAGGAGAAGACCCAUU
This 110-nucleotide small nucleolar RNA is filed under the name Sorghum bicolor (sorghum). RNAcentral describes it as "snoRNA snoZ107_R87". It matches the Rfam family "Small nucleolar RNA Z107/R87". Rfam says of the family: Z107 and R87 are members of the C/D class of snoRNA which contain the C (UGAUGA) and D (CUGA) box motifs. Most of the members of the box C/D family function in directing site-specific 2'-O-methylation of substrate RNA Lineage: Eukaryota; Viridiplantae; Streptophyta; Magnoliopsida; Poales; Poaceae. The record is from Rfam by way of RNAcentral.